RNAcentral lists this ribosomal RNA (4521 nucleotides) under Triticum aestivum (bread wheat). RNAcentral describes it as "partial small subunit ribosomal RNA". Lineage: Eukaryota; Viridiplantae; Streptophyta; Magnoliopsida; Poales; Poaceae. The record is from RNAcentral.
AUGGCCGCGGUUGGGGGGCUGAUCGCGAGAGCCGUCGGGAACCAAAUCGCCAGCAAGCUGGGCGAGCUCGUGAAAGACGAGAUCGCUCUGUUGUGGGGGUUUCAGGACGACGUCGAGGGCUUGAGGGAGAAGAUGGAAGAUCUGGAUGCCCUGAUGCGGGACGCCGAUGAUAGGCUGCGUCGAGGAGAAAGGGAUGGAGAAGCCGUUGGGCGGUGGCUGGCCAAGUUCAAGGCAGUCGCCUACGACAUUGAGGACGUCCUGGACGACCUGGACGCUACCAAGCUCGUCCUGAAGACCCAGUCCAAGGUCAAGUUAUUCUUUUCUGGGAACAAUCAACUCCUCCAGCGGUCAACCAUAGCCCAUAAUAUGAAGACCGUGAGGGAGAAAAUAGAAAAAAUAGAAAAGGAAGGUCAGGCACUUAAUCUUGUGCGUCAUGUGGCAAGGGCAGAGGGGAGCAGAAACAAGGAAACUUUUGCAGCUUGCAGUACUCAAGGCAUGAAAACUGCAAUGGUGGGGAGGGACACCGAGAAAGAGAAGAUAAUCAACCUGCUACUGACAAGUGAAGCUAAUGAGGGUAUCUCCAUCAUUCCAAUUAUUGGGCUUGGUGGUAUUGGAAAGUCAACAUUAGCUGAAGCAGUUUUGGCAGAUAAGAGGGUCAGUGUCUUCGAUGUCCAAAUUUGGGUUCAUGUGUCUGAGCAGUUUGAUUUGCACACAAUUGGGAGUAGAAUCAUCAGAAGAUUAAAUAGCAAUAUCAACCUUGACAAAUGUGAUCUGCAGUUUAUACAUGAUAAUCUGAAAAAAGAACUUUCUACAAUAAGAUACUUGAUUGUUCUAGAUGAUCUCUGGGAAGAAGAUGGAAAUAACCUAGAAGAGUUGAAGCGGAUUUUGCAAUGUGGAUGCAAGGGUAGCAGGAUUAUAGUAACUACACGCAACCAGAGCAUAGUGCAAACACUUAGAACUGGUUUUCUUGCGAAAGACCAGAAAAUCUGCCCUGUGCCUGAGUCUGACCAAAUCAGUUUGGGUGUUUUAUCACCUGAUGACUGCUGGGAAGUAAUGAAGCAAAGGGCACUUGGACCUAAUGAUGACCAUAGUGGUUUGCAAGAAAUUGGAAGGGAAAUUGCAGCAAAGUGUGGGGGGUUACCAAUCGUGGCAAAUGCUCUUGGGCAAGUAAUGUUUGAGCGAAGGACUGUUGAGGCAUGGGAAGAUAUAAGAGACACCAAAGUUGACUUGGGUUUGAGAGAAGAACAUCAAAACAAGGCAUUAGAGCGUCUAAUGCUUAGCUACUGCUACAUGAAGCUUGAGUUUAAAAUGUGUUUCACAUAUUUGGCGGUCUUCCCCAAGGGUUCUGUGAUGGAUCAGCACCAUCUAAUCCAGCAAUGGACCGCUCUCGGAUACAUUAAGGCAUAUGAUGAUGGUGAAAGGUGUAUCAACUAUCUUCUUGGGAUGUCGUUUCUUCAUAUUUCACAGUCAUCCUCCGUUGAUCCAGGUCCAAUGCAUGCCAAAACUUCUCAAAAGUUCACCAUGCAUGAUUUGGUGCAUGAUCUUGCAUCAGUAAUUACUUCCAAAGAGUUCAUCAUUUUGGACGCUGAUGCUACCGAACCAAGGGGCUGGAAUAGAGCUCGUUAUUGCCGGCAUGCACAAUUGAUCAACUACCAAAAUCAAACCACGGUUUUCAAAGACCUGCCACCCACAGCUAGAACCCUCCAUUUUAGGUAUUCAGGAAAAUUGCAACUUCCCAAAAUGGCAUUUUCUCGAUCCAAGUACAUACGUGUGCUGGAUUUAAGUGGGCAUUCAGUUGGAAGGCAAUCUACUUCAAGCAACUUAGACCUUCAUGGAAGUUCAGUUGAGGGGCAAUCCACUUCCAGCAAUGUGGUACUGCCAUCGUCCAUUCAUAAAUCGAAGCUGCUUAGGUACCUUGAUGCCACAUCCUUGCCAAUUACAUCGCUUCCAAAGUCUUUCCACACACUAAAACACAUGCAAACUUUAAUUCUAUCCAAAUGUGCACUUGAAACAUUGCCUGACACUAUCUGUAGCCUCAACAAGCUUUGCUAUCUGGAUCUAUCUGGUAAUGUCAGCCUUACUGAGCUCCCGGCGUCACUUGGGAAGCUCUCCAAACUCUCUUUCAUCAACUUAUUGGGGUGUUCCGUGCUCCAAGAGUUACCCGAGUCCAUCUACGAGCUAACUUGUUUACGUCACCUAGACAUGUCUGAGUGUUGUACCAUUAAAAAGUUACCUGAUAAAUUUGGCACCCUUUUGAAACUCAUAUUCCUAAACUUGUCUGGUUGUUCCAAGAUAACCAAUCUACCUGACAAUCUUAGACUCCAGUCUUUGGAGCAUAUGAACCUAUCAAAUUGCCAUGAGCUAGAAAACCUGCCAAAAGAUUUUGGCAACCUUCAAAGGCUUAGGUUCUUGAGCCUUUCUGAUUGCUACAAGGUUUCAUUGCUGCCAGAAUCAUUUUGCCAACUUAUUCAUCUAAAGUUCUUAGAUCUUUCUGACUGCCAUGAGCUCAUGGAACUCCCUGAAUGUUUUGGUCACCUUUUUGAGCUUGACUCUUUGAACCUAACAAGUUGUUGCAAGCUGCAAGUACUGCCCGAGUCAUUCUGCAAAUUGUCUAAGCUGAGGUGUCUCAGUUUGUCUUAUUGUAUGAGGCUUGAUAAGCUCCCACCUUCGUUCGGUGACCUUAAGCUUCAAUCAUUGGACAUAUCUUCUACAGAAUCUCUCAAUGCCUUGCCAGAUAGCAUUGCUGAAAUGACAAGUCUCACUCGAUUUGAGGCCAUGGCAGGAGCUCCUGAUGUGAUGGCACGCGUUGAGGAAAUUAAAAAGCAUCUUAUUAUUUCAGAAGAAAUAAAGCAUGUUGUACAACAGAGAGAAAAUAAAGGAUGCAGCAGUAUAGUGGAACUUGCAGAUUUAACUUGUUAUGAGUUGGAUGUUCAAGAGCUUCAGAAUGUCAAGCAUCCAGAAGACGCGGAGAGAGCAAAGUUGCGUGAUAAAUCAGAUCUGAGGCAACUAACUCUUCACUGGGGAACCAACGGAGGCGAGGGUAAAUCUGUGUUGGAGAAGCUCACACCUCCCCGGACUCUUGAUUAUUUUUAUCUAUUCGGGUAUAUGAGCAAGGAUUUCCCUAAAUGGAUGUGUGACAUAUCUUCCUACCUCCCUUCUCUGACCUACCUCAGCCUUUCUGAUUUAGGAACAUGUGAUACUCUUCCUCCAUUUGGGCAGCUACCAAAUUUAAGAAGCAUAUGUAUGGAGAAAAUGCCCAACAUCAGGAAAAUAGGCAAGGAAUUCUUUGGGCAGGGCAGACCCUGUGUAAAAUUAAGAUCGAUAAUGUUGGAGUUGAUGGAGAAUUUAACUGAAUUGUGGACAACAAGGUCGGGUGAAGAAAAUGAAGAGUUCUUAAUUCCUAAUUUGCACUCUUUGUGUGUGUCGAACUGCCCAAAAUUGAAGUUUCUGCCAUAUCCGCCAAGAAGUAUGAUUUGGUACUUGGAAAACACUGAUGAGAUUAUUGCAGAAGGAGGAUUUGGGAAGCUUUCAUCUUCUGCACUUCCUUUUCACAUGGUAAUAAAUAAUUGCAGUUUUUCUCCAGACAAUUGGGAUAGACUUCAUCACUUCCCCACCCUUGAAGUAUUUCAAGUUGAAUCCUGCAAGGGCUUGAGGGCAUUGCCAGAGGUCAUUAGAUGCUUCACCUCUCUAAAAAGCCUAGUUUUGAAGUCACUGAAGGAAUUGGAGUCACUACCGAAAUGGUUGGGGUGCUUCAUUUCCCUGCAACGUCUUCUCAUCAAGGAUUGUCCCAAGCUAACAUCUUUACCAGAAAGCAUGAAGAACCUUACUGCUCUGAAACUGCUACAGCUGCAGGGGUGCAAAGGCUGGGAAAUAUUGCCGGAAUGGAUAGGGAAGCUCACUUCACUACAAGACUUUCAAAUCAUUGAUUGCCCCAACUUGACAUUUUUGCCAGAGAGCAUGAAGGGCCUUACUUCUUUAACAGAGCUUUGGAUAGAGGAGUGCCAAGGCCUAGCUAUGUUGCCAGAAAGCCUAGGACAGAUAAUUUCCCUGCAAAAGUUUCAGAUCAUCGAUUGUCCCAACCUGACAACUUUGCCUGAAAGCAUGAAGGGCCUUACUUCUUUAACAGAGCUUUGGAUAGAGGAGUGCCAAGGCCUAGCUAUGUUGCCAGAAUGCCUAGGACAGAUGAUUUCCCUGCAAAAAUUUUGCAUCAUCGAUUGCCCCAACCUGACUUUUUUGCCUGAAAGCAUGAAGAAGCUUACUGCUCUCAGAGUCCUAUCUUUGAAGGAGUGCCAACGCCUACAUAUGCUGCCAGAAUGGCUACAAGAACUCACUUCCCUGGAAGAAUUUAACAUCAUGGAUUGUCCCAACCUGAUAUCUUUGCCUCAAAGCAUACAAAACCUUCCAGUCUUGAAGGAACUCUACAUUUGGGGCUGUCCGAUUCUGGUCGAGAGGUGCCAAGGGGAGGAUGCAGGCCUUAUUUCUCAAAUCCCGGAAGUGACGUUACAUGUACCAGAAGAAUGA